GUGGGGGCAUUUUACCAUCUGACGACAAACACCACGGCAACAAGUAGGAUGUUUUCGUUUCAUCCGUUAAAGCUGAAAUCGAGUCUGGGAUGCAUUUUUGAGGCUCUUACCAAGAUGUCAUAAGAAACCCCAAUGGAGGCCAUGGCCUAAGUGCUCUCCACUUCUUGUCUGCUGCCUCCUGACUACUCUGGAGUUUCUCCAUAAUGGUGCUGGGUGGUGUGCUCUGUCUCCUGUCUCUAGGACCUAUGAGAAGCAGGAGCUACCUAAGAUACUGUUACUGAGGAUGAACUCAGUACAUUGGAUUACUACUGGGGCAACUCUCCUUUUUCCCAGUGGCAUUGGCUCCAUCCAUUGAACAGAUAAGGAGCGGAGGCACACAAGAUGAAAGUAACUGAAUGUGCAGCUGGGACUUUUACCUCGGGCCUCUGAGAGUAGCAUUUACCCAUUCUAAACAAACACUGGCUUUUCUGUUUUAUUCUACUGUUUUCUCUAUACUUUGAUUUAUCCUCUCCACACAUCCCCACCUCCUCCAGUAUACCUUUAUUCACUCCUAUAGCGUAUUAAAGAACAAAACACUUU
Long non-coding RNA from Herpailurus yagouaroundi (jaguarundi), 579 nucleotides. RefSeq lists it as uncharacterized. The transcript has 5 exons. The record is from RefSeq and is a predicted model, not a curated record. NCBI's taxonomy places the organism in Eukaryota, Metazoa, Chordata, Mammalia, Carnivora, Felidae.